RNAcentral lists this ribosomal RNA (786 nucleotides) under uncultured Bacteroidota bacterium. RNAcentral's name for it is "bacterial SSU rRNA". It matches the Rfam family "Bacterial small subunit ribosomal RNA", at positions 39 to 823 of the family's 1533-position model. Lineage: Bacteria; Pseudomonadati; Bacteroidota. The record is from RNAcentral.
GCGGCGGCCUAAUACAUGCAAGUCGAACGAGGUUUAGUAGCAAUACUAAACUUAGUGGCGCACGGGUGCGUAACGCGUAUGCAACCUACCUUCAACUGGGGGAUAGCCCCUCGAAAGAGGGAUUAAUACCCCAUAGUAAUUAGAUAAGGCAUCUUAUUUAGUUUAAAGUUCCGGCGGUUGAAGAUGGGCAUGCGUGACAUUAGCUAGUUGGUGAGGUAACUGCUCACCAAGGCUACGAUGUCUAGGGGUUCUGAGAGGAUGAUCCCCCACACUGGUACUGAGACACGGACCAGACUCNUACGGGAGGCAGCAGUAAGGAAUAUUGGUCAAUGGACGCAAGUCUGAACCAGCCAUGCCGCGUGAAGGAUGAAUGCCCUAUGGGUUGUAAACUUCUUUUGUACGGGAAUAAACCCAGGUACGUGUACCUGGCUGAAUGUACCGUAAGAAUAAGGAUCGGCUAACUCCGUGCCAGCAGCCGCGGUAAUACGGAGGAUCCAAGCGUUAUCCGGAUUCAUUGGGUUUAAAGGGUGCGUAGGCGGAUUUGUAAGUCAGUGGUGAAAGCCUGCAGCUCAACUGCAGAACUGCCAUUGAUACUGCAAGUCUUGAGUACACUUGACGUGGGCGGAAUGUGUCAUGUAGCGGUGAAAUGCUUAGAUAUGACACAGAACACCGACUGCGAAGGCAGCUCACGAAAAUUGUAACUGACGCUGAGGCACGACAGCGUGGGGNAUCAAACAGGAUUAGAUACCCUGGUAGUCCACGCCGUAAACUAUGAAUACUCGAUGU